Pelobates cultripes (western spadefoot toad) is the source of this 518-nucleotide non-coding RNA. Lineage: Eukaryota; Metazoa; Chordata; Amphibia; Anura; Pelobatidae. The record is from the annotation of a GenBank genome assembly.
GAAAAUGUGGCAGAGGGAGAGACCCAAAAACAAUGAGACCAUGACAGAUCUAAUCCAGAUCUCUUUACAGCUUUGCUGCAUUUCCGAAUAUUCGCUGGUUCGAGAAUCUUCCACACUAUCGCCUAUUUAAUGCCACUUCCCCAGCCUAGCCGUGCCCUCAGCUGGGCGAUUGGCUACGCUGUCACCAUUUCUAUGGCAUACAGAGUUUUGCAGAACAUUUUAUAUUUGUAAAUGGCACACCCGACGAUUAACAAAUGAUCUAAAAUAUUUUCUUGCACAAUAUUUUUAUGGUGGAAUUUAGAAACCAAUUGUGAAUAUUUGACAUUCAGUAUAUUUGAAAAAGCUGAGAAUUCAAACUGUCUGUUAGAAGUCUGCAUACAGAAAAUAUGUAAUUUCUUUAUAGAGAAGUAAAUUCAAUAAACCUGUUCCACAUUUUCAUUGUGAGUCAGUCCUAUCAGCUUAUAAAUACAUGGCUUGAUAAGAUCCAGAUUGGUGGGAUGCAGGAAGCAGUAAAUCUG